RNAcentral lists this long non-coding RNA (556 nucleotides) under Brassica napus (rape). RNAcentral describes it as "long non-coding RNA (BNAP_LNC019840)". The record is from RNAcentral. Lineage: Eukaryota; Viridiplantae; Streptophyta; Magnoliopsida; Brassicales; Brassicaceae.
CUAGGACAAGUUCUAGGUAGCUAAUCUAGAAGCAUGCAUUAAUGACAAUCCUAAAGAUGAAUAUCACAAUUUAGAAAUUUAUAGUUGGGGCUAAUCUCUCAUAACCUAUUUAAACCCUAAAAUCUAACAAGAGAACUACUCAGACAUGGUCAAGCAAUUCAUAGCAGCAAUAAGGUAUAAAAACUGCAUAGAUAAAUAAAUAGAUAUCAAUGGAGUUCCAAUCACAAAUAUCUUUGGAUCUUCUCUCCAAUCUACUAGACAUCCUAGAAAAUCUUUUCCUGUGAAAAUAGUAAAACAAGAAAGCACACUUUGUCUCCAACAUGUUGACAAAGCUUAUAUAAUAAGGUUAAAACUCGUCAGGGGUAAUCUUGUAAAUUGGUGAAUACUUGGGCUCUAAGUCGGCUGAAAUCAAACGGGCUUUCUACGCGAUUCGCCAUCGAUCGAUGUCACAGGAUGUGCAUCGAUCGAUUAUUCUCUGAGUGUCGACCGAUGGUCAGCUCGGAUGCUUUCUCCAAAUGUCUCCAAAAUACUCCAAAAUCAUCACUUUCUCCCAAAU